AGGACCUGUGUUUUAUCUCAGAGUUGAUGAGGAGCCCCAGAAGUUGAGCAAGGGAGUGCCACGGUCAGAAAUGUGUCCCAGAAAGCUCCCAGUGGAUUGGACAGGCCAAGGGAGCAGCUGGUAGUCGCAAGUCCCAUCUUACAGACGGGCAAACGGAGGGUCAGAGAGGCAGGAGGCCGUACUUAGUCUUGGCUGGUCCAACUCCAAAUCCCCUGUAGCGGGGAGCCACUGAAGGUUCUGGGGGCCGAGCCUUGCAGAGCGAGCUGAGAGAGGAGGCCUGGAGGGCUGAGAGGGAGGCUAGGAGACUGUGGAGGAGGCUGGCACAGAGCUGCGCACGUGGA
This is a non-coding RNA of Kogia breviceps (pygmy sperm whale), 341 nucleotides long. NCBI's taxonomy places the organism in Eukaryota, Metazoa, Chordata, Mammalia, Artiodactyla, Physeteridae. The record is from RefSeq and is a predicted model, not a curated record.